Molecule: long non-coding RNA, 209 nt
Filed under: Elaeis guineensis (African oil palm)
Lineage: Eukaryota; Viridiplantae; Streptophyta; Magnoliopsida; Arecales; Arecaceae
Description: long non-coding RNA (EGUI_LNC049140)
Source: RNAcentral
CCGUUGAGCCCUUGAUUUUUCACUCCACUGUUGCCUAGUCUCCUCUCUGACUUGACCAUCGGAGGGUCCCCACCGGAGGCAUCUCCGAUCAGUGAUGACUCUUCUUGCAGGUGCGCGACACCGACGAUCGGGCGACGGGGGGAUUGGCCGCAAUAGAUUUAGCGCACCAGGUAGGGGGGCUCGACAGAGGUAAGACAGCGAGCUCCACA